CUUACGGGUGGCUGCAGUGGGGAAUAUUGGGCAAUGGGCGAAAGCCUGACCCAGCAACGCCGCGUGAUUGAAGAAGGUCUUCGGAUUGUAAAGAUCUGUCCUAUGGGAAGAAACAAAUGACGGUACCAUAGGAGGAAGCCCCGGCUAACUACGUGCCAGCAGCCGCGGUAAUACGUAGGGGGCGAGCGUUGUCCGGAAUUACUGGGCGUAAAGGGUGCGUAGGCGGUUUUUUAAGUCAGAUGUGAAAUACCCGGGCUUAACCUGGGGGGUGCAUCUGAUACUGGGGAACUUGAGUGCAGGAGAGGAAAGUGGAAUUCCUAGUGUAGCGGUGAAAUGCGUAGAUAUUAGGAGGAACACCAGUGGCGAAGGCGACUUUCUGGACUGUAACUGACGCUGAGGCACGAAAGCGUGGGGAGCAAACAGGAUUAGAUACCCUGGUAGUC
This 443-nucleotide ribosomal RNA is filed under the name uncultured bacterium. RNAcentral's name for it is "partial 16S ribosomal RNA". It matches the Rfam family "Bacterial small subunit ribosomal RNA", at positions 338 to 795 of the family's 1533-position model. The record is from RNAcentral.